Molecule: ribosomal RNA, 508 nt
Filed under: uncultured bacterium
Lineage: Bacteria
Description: partial 16S ribosomal RNA
Rfam family: Bacterial small subunit ribosomal RNA
Source: RNAcentral
AUUGAACGCUGGCGGCAUGCCUUACACAUGCAAGUCGAACGGCAGCGGGGGAGAAGCUUGCUUUUCCUGCCGGCGAGUGGCGAACGGGUGAGUAACAUAUCGGAACGUACCCAGUAAUGGGGGAUAACUAACCGAAAGGUUAGCUAAUACCGCAUACGCCCUGAGGGGGAAAGCGGGGGACCGUAAGGCCUCGCGUUAUUGGAGCGGCCGAUAUCUGAUUAGCUAGUUGGUAGGGUAAAGGCCUACCAAGGCGACGAUAAGUAGCAGGUCUGGGAGGAUGAUCUGCCACACUGGAACUGAGACACGGUCCAGAAUCCUACGGGAGGCAGCAGUGGGGAAUUUUGGACAAUGGGCGAAAGCCUGAUCCAGCCAUUCCGCGUGAGUGAAGAAGGCCUUCGGGUUGUAAAGCUCUUUCGGCAGGGAAGAAACGGUCUAGGUUAAUACCUUGGGCCAAUGACGGUACCUGAAGAAGAAGCACCGGCUAACUACGUGCCAGCCGCCGCCGUAA